GACGAACGCUGGCGGUGUGCUUAACACAUGCAAGUCGAGCGGUAAGGCCCUUUCGGGGGUACACGAGUGGCGAACGGGUGAGUAACACGUGAGUAACCUGCCCUCAUCUCUGGGAUAACAGUCGGAAACGGUUGCUAAUACUGGAUAUGAGCUUGCAAGGCAUCUUGUGGGUUGGAAAGAUUUUUUUGGUUGGGGAUGGACUCGCGGCCUAUCAGCUUGUUGGUGAGGUAGUGGCUCACCAAGGCUUCGACGGGUAGCCGGCCUGAGAGGGCGACCGGCCACAUUGGGACUGAGAUACGGCCCAAACUCCUACGGGAGGCAGCAGUGGGGAAUAUUGCACAAUGGACGGAAGUCUGAUGCAGCAACGCCGCGUGCGGGAUGACGGCCUUCGGGUUGGAAACCGCUUUCAAUUGUGACGAAGCUUUUUGUGACGGUAGCAGUAGAAGAAGCACCGGCUAACUACGUG
Molecule: ribosomal RNA, 466 nt
Filed under: uncultured bacterium
Lineage: Bacteria
Description: partial 16S ribosomal RNA
Rfam family: Bacterial small subunit ribosomal RNA
Source: RNAcentral